This 113-nucleotide ribosomal RNA is filed under the name Pteropus alecto (black flying fox). The record is from RNAcentral. Lineage: Eukaryota; Metazoa; Chordata; Mammalia; Chiroptera; Pteropodidae.
AAAUCAGGAAAACUAUCCUAAACACGCCCGAUCCCGUCUAUCUUGGAAGCUAAGCAAGUUUGGGCCUGGUUAGUACUUAGAUGGGAGACCACCUAGGAAGACCAGGUGAUGUA